This 212-nucleotide unclassified non-coding RNA is filed under the name Hevea brasiliensis (rubber tree). Lineage: Eukaryota; Viridiplantae; Streptophyta; Magnoliopsida; Malpighiales; Euphorbiaceae. The record is from RNAcentral.
UGAGUUCUUCCUUCUCGUCGGAAAGGUAGUGAAGAACAUAAGGGGUGACUCGAAUUACAGCAACCCAAACGCCGAACAUAGCGACGUGAGAUCGGAGCUGCUUGAGAGCAACAGCCUUGUCAGGCUUGCGCAUAAACAUUCCUGGAAACAUUUUUCGUUUCGAUCUCUUUGCUGUAAGCCAAACAGAGUAUUGGGAUGAUUGAAAGUCGACG